GGGUCGAUGGCGUAGUUGGUCAUCGCAUCUGUCUUACAUACGGCGUGUGCUGCGUCUAUGUUCGUUCCACAGAAGGUCCUCAGUUCGAGCCUGGGUCGACUCA
Termitomyces sp. T32_za158 is the source of this 103-nucleotide non-coding RNA. The record is from the annotation of a GenBank genome assembly. Lineage: Eukaryota; Fungi; Basidiomycota; Agaricomycetes; Agaricales; Lyophyllaceae.